RNAcentral lists this ribosomal RNA (624 nucleotides) under uncultured bacterium. RNAcentral describes it as "bacterial SSU rRNA". It matches the Rfam family "Bacterial small subunit ribosomal RNA", at positions 145 to 787 of the family's 1533-position model. The record is from RNAcentral.
AACAGUUGGAAACGGCUGCUAAAACCGCAUAAGCGCACAGUAUCGCAUGAUACAGUGUGAAAAACUCCGGUGGUAUGAGAUGGACCCGCGUCUGAUUAGCUAGUUGGCGAGGUAACGGCCCACCAAGGCAACGAUCAGUAGCCGGCCUGAGAGGGUGAACGGCCACAUUGGGACUGAGACACGGCCCAAACUCCUACGGGAGGCAGCAGUGGGGAAUAUUGCACAAUGGGGGAAACCCUGAUGCAGCGACGCCGCGUGAGUGAUGAAGUAUUUCGGUAUGUAAAGCUCUAUCAGCAGGGAAGAUAAUGACGGUACCUGACUAAGAAGCACCGGCUAAAUACGUGCCAGCAGCCGCGGUAAUACGUAUGGUGCAAGCGUUAUCCGGAUUUACUGGGUGUAAAGGGUGCGUAGGUGGUGAGACAAGUCUGAAGUGAAAAUCCGGGGCUUAACCCCGGAACUGCUUUGGAAACUGCCUGACUAGAGUACAGGAGAGGUAAGUGGAAUUCCUAGUGUAGCGGUGAAAUGCGUAGAUAUUAGGAGGAACACCAGUGGCGAAGGCGACUUACUGGACUGCUACUGACACUGAGGCACGAAAGCGUGGGGAGCAAACAGGAUUAGAUACCC